RNAcentral lists this long non-coding RNA (603 nucleotides) under Homo sapiens (human). RNAcentral's name for it is "HSALNT0198425". The record is from RNAcentral. Lineage: Eukaryota; Metazoa; Chordata; Mammalia; Primates; Hominidae.
UACCCUCCUGCUUAUGUGGUUACCUGUGUCCCAAGAAUCAGCAAUGGUGACUUCGAAGUCAUCAUGAGAUGGAUGGCAGGAUGCAAAAUUGCUCAAACAGCAGUGGAGAAAUGCUCUCUGUACCUUCAGAAUGGGAAGUUUUUGUCGACUAGCUUUCUGUUUGUUUAUUUCAAUAAGUUGAAUCAUGAAAACUAUUCCUAAAAAGAAAAGAAAAAUCAUUAGGACACUUGGAAGCCACUCUCUAAAGCCAUGGGUAUGGCAAUGGAACUUCAAGAACAGGAGCAACCAGAAGGGUCCUUAGAAGCUACAGACACAAUGGCCCACUUAUAUACAAGGUUUUGAAGAGCUCCUGAGAGAAAUGCACGGAAAAGCCAACAGUGGUAGGUACGUGAUGGCAAUAGCUACUGCCUUUAAUCCCAAGAAGGAAGAUCAUAAGAGCACACAGCUUAAGCAUACGAGUAUCUCUAGUUAUCAACAUUAUAUCCCCAUGUAAAAUAUUAUGUGAUACAGAGUCGAAUUGCAUAUUGAAUUCUUUUGAGUAAGGAGGAAGAAAUCUCUUUUGGGAGAUCCAGUAAGACUUUUCUACCACUGCUCUUUGGGAAG